GACUCUAUAGUGUAGUGGUUAGCCUGUCUGCUUUACACGCAGAAGGUCCUGCGUUCCCGGCCCCCGGUGGAGCCA
RNAcentral lists this transfer RNA (75 nucleotides) under Pteropus alecto (black flying fox). It matches the Rfam family "tRNA". Rfam says of the family: Transfer RNA (tRNA) molecules are approximately 80 nucleotides in length. Lineage: Eukaryota; Metazoa; Chordata; Mammalia; Chiroptera; Pteropodidae. The record is from Rfam by way of RNAcentral.